This 2970-nucleotide ribosomal RNA is filed under the name Triticum aestivum (bread wheat). RNAcentral describes it as "partial small subunit ribosomal RNA". Lineage: Eukaryota; Viridiplantae; Streptophyta; Magnoliopsida; Poales; Poaceae. The record is from RNAcentral.
AUGGAGGCAAGACCAGAUCUUGGGCCUGGACUGCUCAUGCCGCCGGCGACCCCCGACAAUGGCCGGCGGCCGCCGUUCGAUUCCUCCACGGAUGGCCCCUCCUCUUGCUCUGCUGCGGUCGCCCCCGCGUCGGCUGAUUUGGGGGUGUUUGAUAAGCACGGCUUCAUCUACCUCAGGCCCCCCAUUGGGGAACAGCCUCGAUCUGUACCCGGCGCCACUGAUGGCUGCGCAGCCACCGCGCAGACCUCCGAUUCCUCCGACGAGAUUGCGCCGCCAGGGGCUGGUUCCGCCACUGGCGCUGCCACUCCUAUCCUCAUCCCCACCCCGGAGAAAGAGGAGAGCACCCAUUGGAGGCCAAGAAAGAAGUCCACCAAGGGGGUGCCUCGGCUGAAGGUGAUGAAGGAUAAACACCCCAAGCCCGCGCGCACCACGCCGGCCAAGCCUCACAAGACGCCGGCGAAAACAAAGGACGGCGGCGCUGGAUCUGUUGGAGAUGGCACUGAUGAUAAGCUAUCGAAGCGCAAGUUAGACUUCGAUCUGGAAGUCAUUACGGGGAGUUUCGGCAGGGCCAAGCUGAUGGCCAAUCUGAGGCUCCUUGCAGAGGUUAACAAUAUUUCAAGUGGAACCAAGACGAAGAAAAAGAAAGCAAGUGGUGACUGGGCUGUCGUUCCUUACCAGAAUGCUGCUCCGACUGAUGCAUCAUGCUCUGCUUUGGUCCCAUUUGGGGGUUUGGGUCCCCAUGGAAAUCACUCGAAUCAAGUGCGGCCCAAGGUGCUAGGCCUCGAUGUUGAGACAUUGCGAGUGUGUGGCGUUCUGACCAAGUGGGAAGAGAUUGACAGUGAAAGUUUCGAAGGGGUUGAUAUCGGCAGCGGGCCUGGAUGGGCUAAAACUCGGCGGGAUUAUAAAAAGCUUGUGGAUUCGUUUAUUGCGACCAUAAAGGAUUUAUUCGGUCCCAGAGAAUAUUCUCGAUGGGGAGGAUCCGUAAUUGAUUCUGUGGUUGGUACUUUCCUGACACAAAAUGUUGCUGACCAUUUAUCAAGCAAUGCUUUUAUGAUCCUGGCAGCAAAAUUUCCUAUGAAUAAGAGGAAGGGUAAUGCUGAAGAAUGUUCAUAUGUACCUCCGUCAACAGUUGACAUCAAAGAAAACUUGAAUUUGACUAAAGCACCUGAUGCUGGUGAUUCUACCAAUUCAGUUUUUACCAAUCCCAUUGAUUGCGAGGAAGUUGGUUAUGGUGAGGAGGUAAAAGGAAACUAUGGUCAAGACUACAAUACAAUUAUGGAGAAGUUCCUAGCUAUUAUAAAAGAGAAAGACAUCUCUACUUGGGAGAAGGAUGAUCUUUUGAACUUAGUCAAGGAUAAAUCUGGAAAACCAAUAUGCACUGAAAACACCUUAAGAAAGUUCAUAGCCACGCUGCGGGUGGAAGAUACUGCUCACUGGGAUAAGUUACGGGAUGAAGCAUAUAGAAAAGGAUAUGAUAACGGAAGCAAAACUAGAAUAACUGACAAAGUAAACUGGGAAGCUGUACAGCAGGCCUCAUUUGUUGACGUUGCAAAGUGCAUUGCAGGCAGGGGACAACAUUACCUUCUGGCAUUGCGGAUACAGGCAUUUCUCACGCGCAUAAAGAAAGAUCAUGGAAGCUUUGACCUGGAUUGGCUUAGAUGUCUACCACGAGAAAGCGCAAAAAAAUACCUACUCAGCAUAAAUGGACUUGGAGCUAAAAGUGUCGACUGCAUACGUCUUUUGUCACUGGAGCAUAAAGCAUUCCCAGUUGAUGUCAACGUAGCUCGCAUAGUCACAAGGCUACAAUGGGUUGAACUGCAAUGCUGUUCUGAGGAGUUUCAUUCGGUUGACCUAUAUCCACUCAUGCAGGAUGUGCAGAGUUACUUAUGGCCUCGACUAUGUACUAUUGACAAAGAAAAAUUGUAUGAACUACACUGUCUCAUGAUAACUUUUGGAAAGGUAAUUUGCACAAAAGUAGAUCCAAAUUGCAAUGCCUGCCCAUUCCGUGGGGACUGCAGGUACUACAAAAGUAAACUUACCAGACCAUUACUUCCUCCUGCAGAGGAGCAUGCGCGUGGUGGUGAAGAGAAAACAAGUAUGGUUACUUCUGCAAGACUGUUGUCAAGUGGUAGCUGCAUGCCAAGUCCGCAAGUGUGUCAUCAUCAAAUCGAAGAAAGCAGGAGUGCUGGCAGACAACCCUCCCGUAGCUGUGAGCCCAUUAUUGAGGUGCCACCAAGUCCCGAAUAUGAAUAUGAAGCACUUGAUGAGCAAGAAUAUCCCAAUGAAGAUGAUCUUGUUGAUAUUGAAGAUAUUAUGUCAGGAGUACACUACGACAUUGAAAUAAAUCUGUGUUCAAACAAGCCUAUGGUGAGUAAUUGCUCUUGGACACCAAAUCGUGGAAAAGAUUUGGUGUUGAGCAAUUCACAACAUACAAGCAGAAAAUUGAAACACAUAGGGCGUCUUAGGACAGAGCACCUUGCGUUUGUGCUCCCAGACGAUCAUUUAUACUUGGAUGAGUUUGAAAAACGAGUUCCAGAAGAUCCAUCUCCUUAUCUCCUGGUUCGUCAUGGCAAUAAAGGCACAAUUCUUAUACCCUGUCGAACAGCAUCCAGAGGAAACUUUCCGUUGAACGGUACCUACUUUCAGGAUCAUGAGGUCUUUGCAGAUGACUCGUCUAGCCGUCUUCCAAUAGAUAUCGAUGAACUUUUUCUUGAGGGACUGGAGAAGUGCAUUGUAUAUUUUGGCUCAUCAAUACACUCUAUUACUAAAGGUCAAACAAGACAAGACAUUGAAGACUGCUACAAGAAAGGAUAUGUGUGCAUAAGAGGAUUUGACCGGCGGACGAGAUCCCCGAGGCGACUAUGUGCCGCAUUACAUUCCAUCAAUGAAAAGAAAGAGGACAGCAGCAAACAGAAGGAAGGCGUGGGGCUGGGGAAGAGUAACGAGCAGAAGGCGCCUUCGACAAAUUAG